UGGCCUGUGGAAUUUUUUGAAGAUUACGAAAAAUAUAAAAAAACUUUAGGAGGUCAAAACUCAAACUUCAGGGGCAAAUUUGGGGAUUCUAAAAUUAUUGAACCCGCCUCUAGCAGAGAUAGAUAGAUCCAAAAAUUUGUUCUGAUUGAUUUUGAUAUAUGGAACGUCAAAAUCGGAGUUCGUAUGCGAAAGUUAUGGUUGUUUUACGAACGGACUCCGAAUUAGAGGACAAAACGGUCCGGAAGUGAGAAAAAUUUGCGGUGGUGGCUAGAAAUUUAUGGAAACGGUGGGAAAAAACACACAAACUGGACUCAAACAAGACCUAACCAGUAACAAGACCUCGACCAUGACACAAACUCAAAACUACGGAUUCUGAAACUGAAAUAUGCAAAGGCUAUAGCGUGGAUGGGUUGUACGACAUGAAAACAAUAUGGCACUAGACUUAUGAGACGAGCACAAGGACACUCGAAACUAAGGAUAGAUGUGAACCUAACGGUAUGUCUGAUGCUUUGAUUACCACUUGAGGAGAACAAGUGUGGCCCGAUCUUCCAAAAGGUUCUGGAAACUAUCGAUUUCGUGGAAACGAGACACAAAUCAAUCCAGCUUGCGAACAACACGAUUCGAAACCCUACAAUUCUUUUUAUUUUUUUUGAUAUUUUUCUUUUACUUAGGAGCACUCAAGAAGUAACCAUAGGAAAUUUGAGCUUAAACAAGUGAAAGACGUGAGCUGUGGAAACUUUUGAAAAUUGCGAAAAAUAUGAAAAAAACUUUUGGAGGUGAAAACUCAAACUUUAGAGGUGAAUUUGGGGAUUCUAAAAUUGUCAAACCCGCACACGGCGGGGAUAGACAGAUCCAAAAAUUUGGUUUAUCGAUUUUGAUAUAUGGUACGUCAAAAUCGGAGUUCGUAUGCGAAUGUUAUGUCUGUUUUACGAACGGACACCGAAUUAGAAGACAAAACGGUCCGGAAGUGGGAAAAAUUUGCGGCGGUGGCUAGAAAUUGAUGGAAACGGUGGGAAGAAACACACAAAUUAGACUCUAACAAGACCUAACCAGUAACAAGAUCUCGACCAGGACACAAACUCAACACUACGGACUCUGAAACUGAAAUAUGCAAAGGCUAUGACGCGGAUGGGUUGUAGGACAUGAAAACAAUAUAGCACUAGACUUAUGGGACGAACACAAGGACACUCGAAACUAAGGAUAGAUGUGAACCUAACGGUACGUCUGAAGCUUUGAUUACCAAUUGAGGAGAACAAGUGUGGCCCGAUCUUCCAAAAGGUCCGGGUAACUAUCGAUUUGGUGGAAACGAGACCCAAAUCAGUCCACCUUGCGAACAACACGAUUCGAAACCCUACAAUUCUUUUCAUUUUUUUUAUUUGAUAUUUUGUUUUACUUAGGAGCACCGAAGAAGUAGCCAUAGAAAAUUUGAGCUUAAACAAGUGAAAGACGUGGCCUGUGGAAUUUUUUGUAGAUUGCGAAAAAUAUGAAAAUAAACUUUAGGAGGUGAAAACUCAAAUUUAGAGGCGAAUUUGGGGAUUCUAAAUUUGUCGAGCCCGCCUACGGGGGGAUAGAUAGACCCAUAAAUUUUUUCUGAUUGAUUUUGAAAUACAUUGAUUUUGAUAUAUGGAAUAUCAAAAUCGGAGUUCGUAUGCGAAAGUUAUGGUUGUUUUACGAACGGACUCCGAAUUAGAGGACAAAACAGUCCGGAAGUGGGAAAAAGUUGCGGCGGUGGCUAUAAAUUGAUGGAAAUGGUGGGAAGAAACACAUGAAUUGGACUCUAACAAGACCUAACCAGCAACAAGAUCUCGACCAGGACACAAACUCAACACUACGGACUCUGAAACUGAAAUAUGCACAGGCUAUGGCGCGGAUGGGAUGUAGGACAUGAAAACAAUAUAGCAGUAGACUUAUGGGACGAACACAAGGACACUUGAAACUAAGGAUAGAUGUGAACCUAACGGUACGUCUGAAGCUUUGAUUAACACUUGAGGACAACAAGUGUGUCCCGAUCUUCCGAAAGGUUCUGGUAACUAUCGAUUUGGUGGAAACGAGACCCAAAUCAAUCCACCUUGCGAACAACGCGGUUUGAAACCCUGCAAUUCUUUUUAUUUUUUUGAUAUUUUUCUUUUACUUAGGAGCACUCAAGAAGUAACCACAGAAAAUUUGAGCUUAAAUAAGUGAAAGACGUGGUCUGUGGAAUUUUUUGAAGAUUGCGAAAAAUAUGAAAAUAAACUUUAAGAGGUGAAAACUCAAAAUUAGAGGCAAAUUUGGGGAUUCUAAAUUUGUCGAACCCACCAAUGGUGGGGAUAGACAGACCCAAAAAUUUUUUCUGAUUGAUUUUGAUUUAUGGAACGUCAAAAUCGGAGAUCGUAUGCGAAUGUUAUGGUUGUUUUAAGAACGGACUCAGAAUUAGAGGACAAAACAGUCCGGAAGUGGGAAAAAUUUGCGGCGGUGGCUAUAAAUUGAUGGAAACGGUGGGAAAAAACACACAAAUUGGACUCAAACAAGACCUAACCAGUAACAAGACCUCGACCAGGACACAAACUCAACACUACGGACUCUGAAACUGAAAUAUGCAAAGACUAUGGUGCGGAUGGGUUGUAGGACAUGAAAACAAUAUGGCACCAGACUUAUGGGACGAACACAAGGACACUCGAAACUAAGGGUAGAUGUGAACCUAACGUUAUCUCUGAAGCUUUGAUUACCACUUGAGGAGAAUAAGUGUGGCCUGAUCUUCCAAAAGUUUCUGGCAACUAUCGAUUUGGUGGAAAAGAGACACAAAUCAAUGCAGCUUGCGAACAACACAGUUCGAAACCUGCAAUUCUUUUUAUUUUUUUUUUGAUAUUUUUCUUUUACUUAGGAGCACUCAAGAAGUAACCACAGGAAAUUUGAGCUUGAACAAGAGAAAGACGUGGCCUGUGGAAACUUUUGAAGAUUGCGAAAAAUAUAAAGAAAACUUUAGGAGGUGAAAACUCAAACUUCAGAGGCGAAUUUGGGGAUUGUAAAUUUGUUGAACCCGCCAAUGGCGGGCAUAGACAGACAUCGAUUUUGAUAUAUGGAACGUCAAAAUCGGAGUUCGUAUGCGAAAGUUAUGGCUGUUUUACGAACGCACUCCGAAUUAGAGGACAAAACAGUCCGGAAGUGGGAAAAUUUGCGGCGGUGGCUAUAAAUUGAUGGAAACGGUGGGAAGAAACAUACAAAUUGGACUCUAACAAGACCUAACCAGUAACAAGACCUCGACCAGGACACAAACUCAACACUACGGACUCUGAAACUGAAAUAUGGAAAGGCUAUGGCGCGGAUGGGUUGUAGGACAUGAAAACAAUAUAGCACUAGACUUAUGGGACGAACACAAGGACACUCGAAACUAAGGAUAGAUGUGAACCUAACGGUACGUCUGAAGCUUUGAUUACCACUUGAGGAGAACAAGUGUGGCCCGAUCUUCCGAAAGGUUCUGGUAACUAUCGAUUUGGUAGAAACGAGACCCAAAUCAAUCCACCUUGCGAACAACAUGAUUCGAAACACUACAAUUCUUUUUAUUUUUUUUAUUUGUUAUUUUCUUUUACUUAGGAGCACCGAAGAAGUAGCCACAGGAAAUUUGAGCUUAAACAAGUGAAAGACGUGGCCUGUGGAAUUUUUUGUAGAUUGCAAAAAAUAUGAAAAUAAACUCUAGGAGGUGAAAACUCAAACUUCAGAGGCGAAUUUGGGGAUUCUAAAUUUGUCGAACCCGCCUUUGGGGGAUAGACAGACCCAAAAAAUUUUUCUAAUUGAUUUUGAUAUAUGGAACGUCAAAAUCGGAGUUCGUAUGCGAAAGUUAUGGCUGUUUUACGAACGGACCCCAAAUUAGAGGACAAAACAGUCCGGAUGUGGGAAAAAUUUGCGGCGGUGGUUAUAAAUUGAUGGAAACGGUGGGAAGAAACACACAAAUUGGACUCUAACAAGACCUAACCAGUAACAAGACCUUGACUAGGACACAAAACACUACGGACUCUGAAACUGAAAUAUGCAAAGGCUAUGGCGCGGAUGGGUUGUAGGACAUGAAAACAAUAUGGCACCAGACUUAUGGGACGAACACAAGGACACUCGAAACUAAGGGUAGAUGUGAACCUAACGGUAUGUCUGAAGCUUUGAUUACCACUUGAGGAGAAUAAGUGUGGCCCGAUCUUCCGAAAGGUUGUGGUAACUAUCGAUUUGGUGGAAAAGAGACACAAAUCAAUCGAGCUUGCGAACAACACGGUUCGAAACCUGCAAUUCUUUUUAUUUUUUUUGAUAUUUUUCUAUUACUUAGGAGCACUCAAGAAGUAACCAAAGGAAAUUUGAGCUUAAACAAGUGAAAGACGUGGCCUGUGGAAUUUUUUGAAGAUUGCGAAAAAUAUAAAAAAAACUUUAGGAGGUCAAAACUCAAACUUCAGGGGUGAAUUUGGGGAUUCUAAAAUUAUUGAACCCACCUCUAGCGGAGAUAGACAGAUCCAAAAAUUUGUUCUGAUCGAUUUUGAUAUAUGCAACGUCAAAAUCGGAGUUCGUAUGCGAAAGUUAUGGCUGUUUUACGAACGGACUCCGAAUUAGAGGACAAAACGUCCGGAAGUGGGAAAAAUUUGCGUUGGUGGCUAGAAAUUGAUGGAAACGGUAGGAAAAAACACACAAACUGGACUCAAACAAGACCUAACUAGUAACAAGACCUCGACCUGGACACAAUCUCAAAACUACGGAUUCUGAAACUGAAAUAUGCAAAGGCUAUAGCGCGGAUGGGUUGUAGGACAUGAAAACAAUAUGACACUAGACUUAUGAGACGAACACAAGGACACUCGAA
RNAcentral lists this long non-coding RNA (4810 nucleotides) under Sorghum bicolor (sorghum). RNAcentral describes it as "long non-coding RNA (SBIC_LNC010496)". The record is from RNAcentral. Lineage: Eukaryota; Viridiplantae; Streptophyta; Magnoliopsida; Poales; Poaceae.